This 680-nucleotide ribosomal RNA is filed under the name Staphylococcus pseudintermedius. Its description in RNAcentral is "partial 23S ribosomal RNA". It matches the Rfam family "Bacterial large subunit ribosomal RNA", at positions 782 to 1464 of the family's 2925-position model. The record is from RNAcentral. Lineage: Bacteria; Bacillati; Bacillota; Bacilli; Caryophanales; Staphylococcaceae.
ACUUACGUUGAAAAGUGAGCGGAUGAACUGAGGGUAGCGGAGAAAUUCCAAUCGAACUUGGAGAUAGCUGGUUCUCUCCGAAAUAGCUUUAGGGCUAGCCUCAAGUGAUGAUUAUUGGAGGUAGAGCACUGUUUGGACGAGGGGCCCCUCUCGGGUUACCGAAUUCAGACAAACUCCGAAUGCCAAAUAAUUUAACUUGGGAGUCAGAAUGUGGGUGAUAAGGUCCAUAUUCGAAAGGGAAACAGCCCAGACCACCAGCUAAGGUCCCAAAAUAUAUGUUAAGUGGAAAAGGAUGUGGCGUUGCCCAGACAACUAGGAUGUUGGCUUAGAAGCAGCCAUCAUUUAAAGAGUGCGUAAUAGCUCACUAGUCGAGUGACACUGCGCCGAAAAUGUACCGGGGCUAAACAUAUUACCGAAGCUGUGGAUUGUCCUUUGGACAAUGGUAGGAGAGCGUUCUAAGGGCGUUGAAGCAUGAUCGCAAGGACAUGUGGAGCGCUUAGAAGUGAGAAUGCCGGUGUGAGUAGCGAAAGACGGGUGAGAAUCCCGUCCACCGAUUGACUAAGGUUUCCAGAGGAAGGCUCGUCCGCUCUGGGUUAGUCGGGUCCUAAGCUGAGGCCGACAGGCGUAGGCGAUGGAUAACAGGUUGAUAUUCCUGUACCACCAUUAUUCGUUUUAAGCGA